GGGGCCGUCGGCUAGCUUGGUCCAGGCUCUGAGACUUGGACUCUCGGGACUCCGGUUCAAAUCCGGGCGGCCCCACCA
This 78-nucleotide transfer RNA is filed under the name miscellaneous Crenarchaeota group-1 archaeon SG8-32-1. RNAcentral's name for it is "tRNA-Pro". It matches the Rfam family "tRNA". Rfam says of the family: Transfer RNA (tRNA) molecules are approximately 80 nucleotides in length. Their secondary structure includes four short double-helical elements and three loops (D, anti-codon, and T loops). The record is from RNAcentral. RNAcentral also lists the same sequence under 5 other names. Lineage: Archaea; Thermoproteati; Candidatus Bathyarchaeota.